This 1524-nucleotide ribosomal RNA is filed under the name Triticum aestivum (bread wheat). RNAcentral describes it as "partial small subunit ribosomal RNA". The record is from RNAcentral. Lineage: Eukaryota; Viridiplantae; Streptophyta; Magnoliopsida; Poales; Poaceae.
AUGGCCGUCGUCACAUCGUUCCUCCGCUGCGCGACCGCCGCCGCGCUCGCACUCCACCACCACCACCACCAACCGGCCUUCCUCGCCGUCCGCCUCCGCUUCCCGCGCCACCGGAUCCCGACGAGGAUGUCCAUGUCGUCGUCCUCGCCGGCCGCCAGCGCCGCCGCGCCCGCGCCGCACCAGGCCGGGCCGUGGUACGCGGUGCCGGACCUCAGCCUCCGCGACCACCGCUUCGCCGUCCCGCUCGACCACUCCUCCCCCUCCGCGCCGCACAUCACCGUCUUCGCCCGCGAGGUUGUCGCAGCUGGAAAAGAAGAGGCCGCUUUGCCUUAUCUGGUGUACCUACAAGGGGGGCCUGGAUAUGAAAGUCCCCGUCCCACGGAAGCGAGUGGUUGGGUAAAGAAGGCAUGCGAAGAAUACCGCGUGCUAUUGCUCGAUCAGCGAGGAACAGGAUUGUCAACACCGUUGACAACAUCAUCUCUUUCUCAAAUAACAUCUGCAGCAGAGCAGGUGGAGUAUCUGAAGCAUUUCAGGGCAGAUAGCAUAGUUAAGGAUGCAGAGUUUAUUCGUCGGCAUGUUGUACCGGAUGCCAAGCCUUGGACAAUUCUGGGACAGAGUUAUGGUGGAUUUUGUGCUGUUACGUAUUUGAGUUUUGCUCCAGAGGGCCUGAAAGCUGUCCUUUUAACCGGAGGGCUUCCACCACUAGGAAAGCCUUGCACUGCAGAAACUGUGUACAGAGCCUGCUUUAAGCAGGUUCAGCAGCAAAAUGAGAAGUACUAUAAGAGGUUUCCUCAGGAUGUACAAGUCGUUCAUGAAGUUGUGAGAUACUUGAGUGAAUCUGAAGGUGGAGGAGUUCUUCUUCCAUCAGGUGGCAGGUUAACCCCUAAGAUGCUGCAGUGCCUUGGACUAUCUGGUUUAGGUUUCACUGGAGGAUUUGAAAGACUGCAUUAUCUACUCGAGAGAGUGUGGGAUCCUGUACUCGUUCCUGGUGCGAAAAAGAAUAUAAGCUAUUACUUCUUGAAAGAGUUUGACAUGUGGGUAGGUUUUGAUCAAAAUCCUCUUUAUGCUCUCUUGCAUGAGUCUAUUUACUGUGAGGGAUCUUCAUCAAAAUGGUCAGCCGAUAAGAUCCUCAAUGAAAAUGGAAGUUUGUUUGAUCCUGUUAAGGCUACAGAAGAAGGCCGUCCUGUGUAUCUUACUGGAGAGAUGGUGUUUCCCUGUUUUUUCGAUGAGAUCAAUGCUCUACGGCCCCUAAAGGAGGCUGCACACUUGCUAGCUCAGAAGGAGGACUGGCCUCCAUUGUAUGAUAUCAGCGUGUUGAACAACAACAAGGUCCCGGUGGCCGCCGCGGUGUACUACGAGGACAUGUAUGUCAACUUCAACAUCGCCAAGGAGACGGCGUCCCAGAUCGCCGGGAUCCGGCUGUGGGUGACCAACGAGUACCCGCACUCCGGCCUUCGCGACGGCGGCCCCCACGUCUUCGAGCAUCUCAUGGGUCUUUUGAAGGGCAAGAGGCCUCUGUUUUAG